RNAcentral lists this long non-coding RNA (306 nucleotides) under Elaeis guineensis (African oil palm). RNAcentral's name for it is "long non-coding RNA (EGUI_LNC045906)". Lineage: Eukaryota; Viridiplantae; Streptophyta; Magnoliopsida; Arecales; Arecaceae. The record is from RNAcentral.
GGGUAAAAUUAAUUACUAGAAGUUGUUUAGAGAAAUAAUUGGUUAAGAACCAACCCAUAGAUGCAUAUAGAUUGGUCGUCCAUAGUCCGACUAUUAUACAGUCUGUGUGGAUUCCAGUACCCACUAAGAAAUUAAAGUAAUCUUUGAAUUAGAGAUAGAGGCUACCAAUUCAUAUAAAAUAGUGAAAGAAUCUUUAGACUAAAGUUCAAAUCUUUAGAAUUAAAUAAUUUAUAUACUAAUAGAUCUUUUUAUUUUUCUUUCAAUUAUGGCUAGUCAUUUGUUGCUCCGCUCACUAUCAGACAGUGA